CCUACGGGAGGCAGCAGUGAGGAAUAUUGGUCAAUGGGAGAGAUCCUGAACCAGCCAAGCCGCGUGAGGGAAGACGGCCCUAUGGGUUGUAAACCUCUUUUGUCGGAGAACAAAACCCGGGACGUGUCCCCGACUGCGUGUAUCCGACGAACAAGCAUCGGCUAACUCCGUGCCAGCAGCCGCGGUAAUACGGAGGAUGCGAGCGUUAUCCGGAUUUAUUGGGUUUAAGGGGAGCGUAGGUGGAUUGUUAAGUCAGUUGUGAAAGUUUGCGGCUCAACCGUAAAAUUGCAGUUGAAACUGGCAGUCUUGAAUACAGUAGAGGUGGGCGGAAUUCGUGGUGUAGCGGUGAAAUGCUUAGAUAUCACGAAGAACUCCGAUUGCGAAGGCAGUUCACUGGACUGCAACUGACACUGAGGCUCGAAAGUGUGGGUAUCAAACAGGAUUAGAUACCCCAGUAGUC
This 460-nucleotide ribosomal RNA is filed under the name uncultured bacterium. RNAcentral describes it as "partial 16S ribosomal RNA". It matches the Rfam family "Bacterial small subunit ribosomal RNA", at positions 338 to 795 of the family's 1533-position model. The record is from RNAcentral.